This 478-nucleotide long non-coding RNA is filed under the name Aquilegia coerulea. RNAcentral's name for it is "long non-coding RNA (ACOE_LNC001443)". Lineage: Eukaryota; Viridiplantae; Streptophyta; Magnoliopsida; Ranunculales; Ranunculaceae. The record is from RNAcentral.
AAUAUCACAUUUCCCAUAGGAGUGUGUGAGGAUGGGAUUUCUACUUUUUGUUGUGUGAAGAUAAAACAUGAAGAACAAACAGAGCUCCCAAGGGACAUAUGCCUUGUGGAGUUUUAUUUAAAAGGACUAGGCAUACUAUUUGGGAAUUGGGAUCUUCAAGAAACCAUGGGGGACUAAAUUUUAGCACAACAAGCUGCCUCACCCUCUCAAUCACAUACUAAUUGAGUAAUUCCCAGGUAUAAGUAGUAUUUUUUUAACGCCAAAUCUACAUUCCUUGUCAGUACAAUAUUAUUUGAGUUGCUUCAAUUCAUUAAAAGGUUGUCAGUAUAUCCAAAACUGAUGAACACAUACACAAGUUUUUCUAUAUAACUUUAUCUUUUUUGAAUUAUAUAUAUAAAAGGGAUUUGAAUUACCUUGAAUUAUUAACUCUAGGAGAUGAUGGUCGAGGAGCUGAAGAUCGGAAGGCCUGACCACCAAC